Molecule: non-coding RNA, 29 nt
Filed under: Homo sapiens (human)
Lineage: Eukaryota; Metazoa; Chordata; Mammalia; Primates; Hominidae
Source: RNAcentral
CAGCACCACAUCUGGUUCUGAGGUUUAGC